CACCGGCAGCUCAAGUGGUAGCCAUUUUUAUUGGGCCUAAAGCGUUCGUAGCCGGUUUGAUAAGUCUCUGGUGAAAUCCCACAGCUUAACUGUAGGAAUUGCUGGAGAUACUAUUAGACUUGAGGUUGGGAGAGGUUAGCGGUACUCCCAGGGUAGGGGUGAAAUCCUGUAAUCCUGGGAGGACCACCUGUGGCGAAGGCGGCUAACUGGAACAAACCUGACGGUGAGGGACGAAAGCCAGGGGCGCGAACCGG
This 254-nucleotide ribosomal RNA is filed under the name uncultured prokaryote. RNAcentral's name for it is "partial 16S ribosomal RNA". It matches the Rfam family "Archaeal small subunit ribosomal RNA", at positions 474 to 727 of the family's 1478-position model. The record is from RNAcentral.